Molecule: long non-coding RNA, 824 nt
Organism: Zeugodacus cucurbitae (melon fly)
Lineage: Eukaryota; Metazoa; Arthropoda; Insecta; Diptera; Tephritidae
Exons: 3
Source: RefSeq, a predicted model, not a curated record
GGAAAAUGGUCUUGGAAGACAAAGCGAGCUGCAACGCACAUCUGGUGUGUACAUGCAAACACAGACAAGCAAAACUAAAAAUAGAAGCGAAACAAGGAUUAUGCCAAUGAAGACAGAUGGAUAUUUGCAAACUUCGGAAGAAAAACAAUGGUUUUAAUAGUGAUACAACGAUAGUACAACAAUAGCGACUCCAGGCAGUGGACUGAAUGAAAUAUCGUUCGAUACAAAUUCGAAUUAGAAUUCAACGUAUGAUGGAUGAAACACCCGUAGUCCUUUGUGUCAGGAAAUAACAAAAAUCAUGCACAUAGAAAUACAACACAAAAUAUGCUACAACAACAGGUAUUGAUUGCAAAACUAAAACAAAACAAUAAUUUUGAUAUUCUUAUUAUUCAACCGAGUUGGUAUUAAUACUUCCCAUGCUUAUAAGAUUGGUGGAUAAUCGCCAAAUAGUGUAACAAGUGUAGCAGCAACAACAAAUAAUACAUAUUCAAAUUCACAAUAAAAGUCAAAAUCGCACAACGCAAACGGCAAAUAACAAGGCAUCGAAUGAUGUACAACAAAUUACAUCGGACUUUUGAAGUAGCAGUUUUACUACUUAUUUUCGACGUGCUAAACAAAGUCUCCUACGAUGCCCUUAACAUAGUAACAGAGCUCUAAAAAACAAUAUUGAGUCGCAGAAGUUGUUUAUCCUGCUUCUGAUUUAACUAUACAGGAAUUAUUAAUUAUUGUUAAUUUAUAUAUAUUAUGAUUGUUAAUUUAUAAGUUUUGAGCUCUCGCAAUAGCACUAAAUUUAUUAAUAUAAAUGUAAAAUAUUGUUAAAUUAG